Molecule: ribosomal RNA, 205 nt
Filed under: uncultured bacterium
Lineage: Bacteria
Description: partial 16S ribosomal RNA
Rfam family: Bacterial small subunit ribosomal RNA
Source: RNAcentral
GACAGAGGUGCCGAGCGUUAGGCGGAAUCACUGGGCUUAAAGCGCGUGUAGGCGGACCGUUAAGUGCCCGUGUGAAAUCCCCCGGCUCACCGGGGAACGGCCGGGCAUACUGGCGGUCUUGGGGCCACCUAGGGGUCAUCGGAACGAGGCGGUGGGAGCGGUGAAAUGCGGUAGAUAUCGAGAGGAACACCUGCGGCGAAGGCGG